RNAcentral lists this non-coding RNA (130 nucleotides) under Frankia sp. RNAcentral describes it as "FMN sequence". It matches the Rfam family "FMN riboswitch aptamer (RFN element)". From Rfam's summary of the family: The RFN element is a highly conserved domain that is found frequently in the 5'-untranslated regions of prokaryotic mRNAs that encode for flavin mononucleotide (FMN) biosynthesis and transport proteins. This element is a metabolite-dependent riboswitch that directly binds FMN in the absence of proteins. RNAcentral also lists the same sequence under 1 other name. The record is from RNAcentral. Lineage: Bacteria; Bacillati; Actinomycetota; Actinomycetes; Frankiales; Frankiaceae.
ACGCGCGCUCCGGGGUCGGUGAAAUUCCGAACCGGCGGUGACAGUCCGCGACCCGUCCGCAGGUACUGGGACGGCUGACCCGGUGGAAUUCCGGGACCGACGGUGAAAGUCCGGAUGGGAGGACGCGCGC